This 143-nucleotide small RNA is filed under the name Arabidopsis thaliana (thale cress). RNAcentral describes it as "ATSL239150". The record is from RNAcentral. Lineage: Eukaryota; Viridiplantae; Streptophyta; Magnoliopsida; Brassicales; Brassicaceae.
UAAUCAAUAUUAAAUGACACAUGAUAUUUUCUUAUGUGAUGAUGUGUCACCCAUAUGGAGAGAGUUGGCCAACUUUCAUAUAUAUGAUUUCUUUAAAAACCUCAUUUAUCUUAGAACCCUCCAUUGAGGAUGGCCUAACAUCA